AUGCAAGUCGAUCGGAAAGGUCUCUUCGGAGAUACUCGAGUGGCGAACGGGUGAGUAACACGUGGGUGAUCUGCCCUGCACUUCGGGAUAAGCUUGGGAAACUGGGUCUAAUACCGGAUAGGACCGCAUGCUGCAUGGUGUGUGGUGGAAAGCUUUUUGCGGUGUGGGAUGGGCCCGCGGCCUAUCAGCUUGUUGGUGGGGUGAUGGCCUACCAAGGCGACGACGGGUAGCCGGCCUGAGAGGGUGUCCGGCCACACUGGGACUGAGAUACGGCCCAGACUCCUACGGGAGGCAGCAGUGGGGAAUAUUGCACAAUGGGCGCAAGCCUGAUGCAGCGACGCCGCGUGGGGGAUGACGGCCUUCGGGUUGUAAACCUCUUUCACCAUCGGCGAAGCCCAUAGCUUUUGUUGUGGGUGACGGUAGGUGGAGAAGAAGCACCGGCCAACUACGUGCC
This 454-nucleotide ribosomal RNA is filed under the name uncultured bacterium. Its description in RNAcentral is "bacterial SSU rRNA". It matches the Rfam family "Bacterial small subunit ribosomal RNA", at positions 55 to 509 of the family's 1533-position model. The record is from RNAcentral.